Molecule: ribosomal RNA, 273 nt
Filed under: uncultured bacterium
Lineage: Bacteria
Description: partial 16S ribosomal RNA
Rfam family: Bacterial small subunit ribosomal RNA
Source: RNAcentral
UACGGAGGGGGUUAGCGUUGUUCGGAAUUACUGGGCGUAAAGCGCACGUAGGCGGAUUGGAAAGUUGGGGGUGAAAUCCCAGGGCUCAACCCUGGAACUGCCUCCAAAACUAACAGUCUAGAGUUCGAGAGAGGUGAGUGGAAUUCCAAGUGUAGAGGUGAAAUUCGUAGAUAUUUGGAGGAACACCAGUGGCGAAGGCGGCUCACUGGCUCGAUACUGACGCUGAGGUGCGAAAGCGUGGGGAGCAAACAGGAUUAGAUACCCUAGUAGUCC